CCUACGGGAGGCAGCAGUGAGGAAUAUUGGUCAAUGGACGAGAGUCUGAACCAGCCAAGUAGCGUGAAGGAUGACUGCCCUAUGGGUUGUAAACUUCUUUUAUCAAGGAAUAAAACGAGGCACGUGUGCCUUUUUGCGUGUACUUUAUGAAUAAGGAUCGGCUAACUCCGUGCCAGCAGCCGCGGUAAUACGGAGGAUCCGAGCGUUAUCCGGAUUUGUUGGGUUUAAAGGGAGCGUAGAUGGGUUGUUAAGUCAGGUGUGAAAGUUUGCGGCUCAACCGUCAAAUUGCAAUUGAUACUGGCAGUCUUGAGUACAGUUGAGGUAGGCGGAAUUCGUGGUGUAGCGGUGAAAUGCUUAGAUAUCACGAAGAACCCCGAUUGCGAAGGCAGCUUACUAAACUGUGACUGACAUUGAUGCUCGAAAGUGUGGGUAUCAAACAGGAUUAGAUACCCCAGUAGUC
This 460-nucleotide ribosomal RNA is filed under the name uncultured bacterium. RNAcentral's name for it is "partial 16S ribosomal RNA". It matches the Rfam family "Bacterial small subunit ribosomal RNA", at positions 338 to 795 of the family's 1533-position model. The record is from RNAcentral.